GGGUUAUUAGCUCAGGUGGUUAGAGCGUACCCCUGAUAAGGGUAAGGUCGCUGGUUCGAGUCCAGCAUAACCCACCA
RNAcentral lists this transfer RNA (77 nucleotides) under Pseudobryopsis hainanensis. RNAcentral describes it as "tRNA-Ile". It matches the Rfam family "tRNA". From Rfam's summary of the family: Transfer RNA (tRNA) molecules are approximately 80 nucleotides in length. Their secondary structure includes four short double-helical elements and three loops (D, anti-codon, and T loops). The record is from RNAcentral. Lineage: Eukaryota; Viridiplantae; Chlorophyta; Ulvophyceae; Bryopsidales; Pseudobryopsidaceae.